This 620-nucleotide ribosomal RNA is filed under the name Arthrobacter sp. Its description in RNAcentral is "bacterial SSU rRNA". It matches the Rfam family "Bacterial small subunit ribosomal RNA", at positions 72 to 698 of the family's 1533-position model. The record is from RNAcentral. Lineage: Bacteria; Bacillati; Actinomycetota; Actinomycetes; Micrococcales; Micrococcaceae.
UCCGGUGCUUGCGCCGGGGAUUAGUGGCGAACGGGUGAGUAACACGUGAGUAACCUGCCCUUGACUCUGGGAUAAGCCUGGGAAACUGGGUCUAAUACCGGAUAUGACUCCUCAUCGCAUGGUGGGGGGUGGAAAGCUUUUUGUGGUUUUGGAUGGACUCGCGGCCUAUCAGCUUGUUGGUGGGGUAAUGGCCUACCAAGGCGACGACGGGUAGCCGGCCUGAGAGGGUGACCGGCCACACUGGGACUGAGACACGGCCCAGACUCCUACGGGAGGCAGCAGUGGGGAAUAUUGCACAAUGGGCGAAAGCCUGAUGCAGCGACGCCGCGUGAGGGAUGACGGCCUUCGGGUUGUAAACCUCUUUCAGUAGGGAAGAAGCCCUCUUUGGGGGUGACGGUACUUGCAGAAGAAGCGCCGGCUAACUACGUGCCAGCAGCCGCGGUAAUACGUAGGGCGCAAGCGUUAUCCGGAAUUAUUGGGCGUAAAGAGCUCGUAGGCGGUUUGUCGCGUCUGCUGUGAAAGACCGGGGCUCAACUCCGGUUCUGCAGUGGGUACGGGCAGACUAGAGUGCAGUAGGGGAGACUGGAAUUCCUGGUGUAGCGGUGAAAUGCGCAGAUAUC